RNAcentral lists this ribosomal RNA (90 nucleotides) under Bacillus thermotolerans. Lineage: Bacteria; Bacillati; Bacillota; Bacilli; Caryophanales; Bacillaceae. The record is from RNAcentral.
ACCCGUUCCCAUCCCGAACACGGAAGUUAAGCUCUUCAGCGCCGAUGGUAGUUGGGGGCUUCCCCCUGUGAGAGUAGGACGCUGCCAGGC